Molecule: ribosomal RNA, 456 nt
Filed under: uncultured Anoxybacillus sp.
Lineage: Bacteria; Bacillati; Bacillota; Bacilli; Caryophanales; Anoxybacillaceae
Description: bacterial SSU rRNA
Rfam family: Bacterial small subunit ribosomal RNA
Source: RNAcentral
CACAAGCGGUGGAGCAUGUGGUUUAAUUCGACGCAACGCGAAGAACCUUACCAGGGCUUGACAUCCCCUGACCGCGUAUGAAAGUACGUUUCACCUCGGGUGACAGGGUGACAGGUGGUGCAUGGUUGUCGUCAGCUCGUGUCGUGAGAUGUUGGGUUAAGUCCCGCAACGAGCGCAACCCUCGGCCUUAGUUGCCAGCAUUCAGUUGGGCACUCUAAGGUGACUGCCGGCUAAAAGUCGGAGGAAGUGGGGAUGACGUCAAAUCAUCAUGCCCCUUAUGACCUGGGCUACACACGUGCUACAAUGGGCGGUACAAAGGGUCGCGAACCCGCGAGGGGGAGCCAAUCCCAAAAAGCCGCUCUCAGUUCGGAUUGCAGGCUGCAACUCGCCUGCAUGAAGCCGGAAUCGCUAGUAAUCGCGGAUCAGCAUGCCGCGGUGAAUACGUUCCCGGGCCUU